ACAAAGGAAUCAAAAUGCACCUGUUCCAUAACCACCAGUUCAGUCUUCAGACCAAGAUUCAAUUUUGAAGUCUAUGAUAGAGAAUUUCUUAGCUGCUCAACAAAAACAAGGAGAAAUGAUUCAACAAUUAACUUCAAGGAUAUAUCAGUUUGCCACUCAUAAUAGGAUGUUGGAAAACCAAAUAGCUCAACAAGCAAGUUCUUCUAGCAAAGCACAAGGGAAAUUUCCAAGUCAACCAGAGAAUCCUAGAGAACAUUGCAAGGCAGUGAUCCUAAGGAGUGGGAAAAUUAUGGGAGAAGGAAAGAAAUAUGAGGUAGAAGAGGAAAAAAAGAAAGAAGAUGAAGACAAGAAUGAAUCUACUUCAAAUCAUGAUGAAGUCAAUGAGGAAGCAAAUAAGAAGAAGGAAGUUGAAAAAGAAGAAGAGGAAAAGUAUGUGUCUCCACCACCAUACAAGCCACCAUUACCAUAUCCUCAGAGGUUUCAGAAAGCAAAGCUAGAUAAGUAGUUUGGGAAAUUUUUGAAAGUUUUGAAGAAGUUAUACAUCAACAUUCCAUUUACAGAUGCAAUUUCUCAAAUGCCCUCAUAUGAUAAGUUCCUGAAAGAAAUUUUGUCAAAUAAGAGGAGACUAGAAGAUUAUGAAACUGUGGCAUUAACAGAGGAGUGUAGUGCUCUCUUACAGAAUAAACUUCCACCAAAAUUGAAGGAUCCAG
RNAcentral lists this unclassified non-coding RNA (710 nucleotides) under Hevea brasiliensis (rubber tree). The record is from RNAcentral. Lineage: Eukaryota; Viridiplantae; Streptophyta; Magnoliopsida; Malpighiales; Euphorbiaceae.